Molecule: ribosomal RNA, 550 nt
Filed under: gamma proteobacterium R2-July-MIB-2
Lineage: Bacteria; Pseudomonadati; Pseudomonadota; Gammaproteobacteria
Description: bacterial SSU rRNA
Rfam family: Bacterial small subunit ribosomal RNA
Source: RNAcentral
UGGGGAAUAUUGGACAAUGGGGGCAACCCUGAUCCAGCCAUGCCGCGUGUGUGAAGAAGGCCUUCGGGUUGUAAAGCACUUUCAGUGGUGAGGAAGGCUUGCAAGUUAAUAGCUUGCGAGAUUGACGUUAGCCACAGAAGAAGCACCGGCUAACUCCGUGCCAGCAGCCGCGGUAAUACGGAGGGUGCGAGCGUUAAUCGGAAUUACUGGGCGUAAAGCGCACGUAGGCGGUUUGUUAAGCAAGAUGUGAAAGCCCCGGGCUCAACCUGGGAAUUGCAUUUUGAACUGGCAGGCUAGAGUUUUGAAGAGGGUGGUAGAAUUUCCUGUGUAGCGGUGAAAUGCGUAGAUAUAGGAAGGAAUACCAGUGGCGAAGGCGGCCACCUGGUCAAAAACUGACGCUGAGGAGCGAAAGCGUGGGGAGCAAACAGGAUUAGAUACCCUGGUAGUCCACGCUGUAAACGAUGUCAACUAGUUGUUCGUUUCAUAAAUGAAGUGAGUAACGCAGCUAACGCACUAAGUUGACCGCCUGGGGAGUACGGCCGCAAGGUUA